Panonychus citri (citrus red mite) is the source of this 606-nucleotide long non-coding RNA. RefSeq lists it as uncharacterized. The record is from RefSeq and is a predicted model, not a curated record. The transcript is spliced from 3 exons. NCBI's taxonomy places the organism in Eukaryota, Metazoa, Arthropoda, Arachnida, Trombidiformes, Tetranychidae.
UUCUUUUAUCGUGUGGUUUAUUUUUUAGAUUUCAUGUAACUUUUAACAAUGAAUAUCAACGAUUUACCUGAUGAUUAAUUACUUUUGAUUUUUGAUCACUUUUAUCAAUUGCGACAAUUUGCUACAUUUAUGGAAGUUUGUCGUCGCUGGAAGAUAUUAGCGGAAAAGAGACUGAGGAAGAUCACUCACUUUCAUGUUACAUUGGCCACUCGAUUAAGGCGGAUUGCAACAAAAUCAUCUUCUAUUAGCUCAUAAAUGUAUCAUCACAAUAAGCAGAAAGUUCUUGAUGAAAAUUAAACUCUCUAAACUUUUUCCUAAUGUUAAGGUAAAAAAAAAGUUUUAUUAAACGAAACUCUCUCUCAGUCUCUCAGUAUCAACAUAAAUAAUAAUAAAGAUAAAAUCAACCACCGACUAAUCAACUUUCCUAAGGUUCACUUUUAAAUUGUUCAUUUAAAUUGUUAUCAAGUAUAUUCACCAAUCUUGAUAAAAGAGAUUCACUUCGAGUGGUUUUAUUUAAUCUAAUUAAUGAUCAAAAAUCAAUAAGUGAUCAUGAUGAUGAUAAAGAAAGAUUUUUCGAUAAAAGUAAAAUUAAUUUCAUUGAAGAUC